ACGGCUACCUUGUUACGACUUCACCCCAGUCGCCAAUCCUACCUUCGGCAGCGCCCUCCUUGCGGUUAGGCUACUGACUUCGGGCAUUACCGGCUCCCAUGGUGUGACGGGCGGUGUGUACAAGGCCCGGGAACGUAUUCACCGCGGCAUGCUGAUCCGCGAUUACUAGCAAUUCCAACUUCACGCAGGCGGGUUGCAGCCUACGAUCCGAACUGAGACCGUUUUUAGGGUUUUGCUCUGCCUCGCGGCUUUGCCUCCCUCUGUUAACGGCCAUUGUAGUACGUGUGAGGCCCAGGUCAUAAGGGGCAUGAUGAUUUGACAUCAUCCCCACCUUCCUCCGUUUUGUCAACGGCGGUCCGGCUAGAGUGCUCUUGCGUAGCAACUAACCGUAAGGGUUGCGCUCGUUGCGGGACUUAACCCAACAUCUCACGACACGAGCUGACGACAACCAUGCACCACCUGUCUCCGCUUUCCCCGAAGGGCACCUAACGCAUCUCUGCCUCGUUAGCG
This 510-nucleotide ribosomal RNA is filed under the name uncultured bacterium. RNAcentral's name for it is "partial 16S ribosomal RNA". The record is from RNAcentral.